RNAcentral lists this ribosomal RNA (780 nucleotides) under Salmonella enterica subsp. enterica serovar Kentucky. RNAcentral describes it as "partial 23S ribosomal RNA". It matches the Rfam family "Bacterial large subunit ribosomal RNA", at positions 1 to 713 of the family's 2925-position model. The record is from RNAcentral. Lineage: Bacteria; Pseudomonadati; Pseudomonadota; Gammaproteobacteria; Enterobacterales; Enterobacteriaceae.
GGGUUGUGAGGUUAAGCGACUAAGCGUACACGGUGGAUGCCCUGGCAGUCAGAGGCGAUGAAGGACGUGCUAAUCUGCGAUAAGCGCCGGUAAGGUGAUAUGAACCGUUAUAACCGGCGAUUUCCGAAUGGGGAAACCCAGUGUGACUCGUCACACUAUCAUUAACUGAAUCCAUAGGUUAAUGAGGCGAACCGGGGGAACUGAAACAUCUAAGUACCCCGAGGAAAAGAAAUCAACCGAGAUUCCCCCAGUAGCGGCGAGCGAACGGGGAGGAGCCCAGAGCCUGAAUCAGCAUGUGUGUUAGUGGAAGCGUCUGGAAAGGCGCGCGAUACAGGGUGACAGCCCCGUACACAAAAGCGCAUGUGUUGUGAGCUCGAUGAGUAGGGCGGGACACGUGGUAUCCUGUCUGAAUAUGGGGGGACCAUCCUCCAAGGCUAAAUACUCCUGACUGACCGAUAGUGAACCAGUACCGUGAGGGAAAGGCGAAAAGAACCCCGGCGAGGGGAGUGAAAAAGAACCUGAAACCGUGUACGUACAAGCAGUGGGAGCCCCACCACUAAGCCAGUGGUGAACUCCACAUACGCAUCCUUUGCUGAAGGUGCGGUUAACGGAGCGCAAGCGACGUUCAACCUCAAAAGAAGCAGAGGGGGCUUAGUGGUGGGGUGACUGCGUACCUUUUGUAUAAUGGGUCAGCGACUUAUAUUCUGUAGCAAGGUUAACCGCAUAGGGGAGCCGGAGGGAAACCGAGUCUUAAUUGGGCGUUAAGUUGCAGGGUAUAGA